ACUAACGGAGGGACUGACUCCACGGAGGGUGUAAGACCCGUGUGGGCGCGUGUAAAAGCUGAUUGGGGUUGGCCUCUUUCCCUGAGAGUCGCGUUGCUCUGGCAUGCAGCGCUAAGCAGGUCGUAAACUCGAUCUAAGGCUAAAUAUUUCCACAGGCCCGAUAGCGAACAAGUACCGUGAGGGAAAGUUGAAAAGCACUCUGAAGAGAGAGUCAAAAGACCGUGAAACCGCUCAGAGUAUAAGCCCAUGGAGCUCGGAAGGCAUACCGCAGUCCUAUAACAAGGUCGGCUUGCACGAAGGUCUGUCAGGCAGUGGCAUUGAGUUGAUAUCACGCUGACGUGCGGAGGAGGAAACUGGUCGCGUAGCCGGGCUUCGGCUCGGUUUGCACGGCCAGCUACUCUUUUGAUCACGGACUUUCAAGGGUGCUUGCCGUAUGCGGAAACGCCCACCACGUCUCGUUGCGUGGUCACCCACAGGCUCGACUGUCGAUCGCGUGUUCACCUCGUUCGCAGAGAUGUGUCAUGGCUGUCCCGCCUCCCCUCUAGGAGACGGGACGACACUAGCGGCGAGGCUAAUGGAAUUGAACCGGACGGCGACUGAGAUAAACCUGGUAUGAUC
Molecule: ribosomal RNA, 618 nt
Filed under: Crangonyx sp. 1 TRS-2023a
Lineage: Eukaryota; Metazoa; Arthropoda; Malacostraca; Amphipoda; Crangonyctidae
Description: partial large subunit ribosomal RNA
Rfam family: Eukaryotic large subunit ribosomal RNA
Source: RNAcentral